GAUGGGCGGAUCACGAGGUCAGGAGAUCGAGGCCAUCCUGGCUAACACAGUGAAACCCCAUCUCUACUAAAAAUACAAAAAAUAAGCCGGGUGUGGUGGCGCCUGUAGUCCCAGCUACUCGGGAGACUGAGGCAGGAGAAUGGCGGGAACCCGGGAGGCAGAGCUUGCAGUGAGCCGAGAUCGUGCCACUGCACUCCAGCCUGGGCGACAGAGUGAGACUCUGUCUCAAAAAAAAAAAAAAAAAAAAGAAAAUCAUAAGGGAGGGAAGACACUAUUCAUUAAAUGGAAGUGGAUUAUCAUACAGGUUUUGAUCCUCAUCAUCUUCACAUGGAGCAGGCUGAGGGGAAGGAGGAAAAGGAGGGGUUAGUCUUGCUCAGAGGAGGCAGAAAUGGAAGAGGUGGAGGAGGAAGAAGUGGAGGAUGGAGAGGCAGUCACCUGUGGUGUAACUUUAUGGAAAUAUAUCAUAAGUUGUCUGACUUUUCUGCUUUUUUAUUUCUCUAAGAAUGUUUCUAUAUGGCAUCAAACUUCUACCAUUUGCUUUAGUUUCACAGUGCCUGUACCAUAAGGGUCCAUGUUAAAAGGAAAUCAAAAGCAGUUUUGAAGAAUGGGAACCCUUCUACCAGUUUGUCUAAUGUCAAUUUGUUUUCGGGCACUGCUUCUGCUUGUCUUUGUCUCAUUGUCCGGCACUGGUUCAGAAGCGUUCAUCUCCAGCAAGUCAUCUGCUGUUAAUUCCUCUGGUGUGGCAUCUGCUAGCUCCUUAAUUUUUUCCCUCACCCCUCACCUCAUUUUCCUAUUCACAGUUUCUUUCUCUUUCAUGAUGUCCUUGACUGGCUCUGUCGUAAAUCCUGUGAAGUCAUGCACAACAUCCAGACAGUUUCUCCAGCAGGAAUUUAUUGUUUUGGCUUGAUGGCUUUCACAGCUUUUUCUGUAACAAUGAUGGCAUCUUCAGUGGUGUCAUCCUUCCAUAAGACUUUCAUAAUGUUCUAUCAGGGUUCUCUUCUAUAAUGUUGACAAUCCUUUCUAUAGAGUACCAUGUGUAAUGAGCCUUGAAGGCCCUUAUGACCCCCAAUUGAGAGGCUGAAUUAGAGAGGUUGUGUUGGGAGGCAAGUAAACCAUUUUGACAUCUUCAGUGUUAAACUCAUGCGGUUCUGGGUGGCCAGAAGCACUGUCCAAUAUCAAAAGAAUUUUAAAGGAUAGUGUCUUACUGGCAAGAUACUUCCUGACCUCAGGGACAAGGUAUCAAUGGAACCAAUCCAGGAAAAGGGUUCCAGUUGUCAGACCUUCCUGUUGUACAGCCAAAAGACUGAGAGCUGGUGUUAUCUUUUCCCUUCAAGGCUCA
This 1339-nucleotide long non-coding RNA is filed under the name Macaca fascicularis (crab-eating macaque). RNAcentral's name for it is "lncRNA (ENSMFAG00000048792.1)". Lineage: Eukaryota; Metazoa; Chordata; Mammalia; Primates; Cercopithecidae. The record is from RNAcentral.